Molecule: ribosomal RNA, 1101 nt
Filed under: Triticum aestivum (bread wheat)
Lineage: Eukaryota; Viridiplantae; Streptophyta; Magnoliopsida; Poales; Poaceae
Description: partial small subunit ribosomal RNA
Source: RNAcentral
AUGGCCGCGAUGACCGCCAUCCGCCGCGCCGCCGUCGCCUGCCGUGUCUCGCGUCGCCUCCUCUCCCACUCGCGCGCCUCUCCCACCCUCCUCGGCCACUUCUACCACCCCAUGUGCCCGCAGGACCCGCAGGCCUUCCAGCUGCCGCCUGCCGCCGCGCCGGCUUUCCAGCCCCUCACCGCCUCCUCCCCGCGCCUCUCUCUCGACUUCCUCCCCGACAUCUUUGACUACACCCUCUACGACUCCCACCGCGGCCUGCUGCUCCUCCGCCGGAAGCCCCAGUUCGACACCCGCGGCUUCCUCGUCUGCGACCCCGUCUCACGCCGCCACGCGCCGCUUCCCCCGCCGCCCAUCUCCUUCCGGAACGGCGGCGAGGUUGUUGGCGCCGCGCUCCUCUCGCGCGCCGCCCCCGCGGACCCCGAGGGCGGGCUCCGGUUCGAGCUCCUCUGCGUCGCCCUCGACGUCGACCGCCCGCGCGCCUGGGUCGCGUCCUUCCGCGACGGUUGGUGCCGCUGGACCGCGCUGCCGCGGUCGCGCGGGGUCACCGUCGACUUCGACGCCAUGAGGUUCGAGCGGAUGUCCGUGCACGCCGCGGGGGGCAUGUACUGGCACAUCCUCAACAGCCCCGCCGUGCUCGCGCUCGACGCCGCCACCAUGGAGUUCUCCUUCCUCUGGGCGCCGGAGUUUAUGUGGGGGGGCCUCGACGGACCCCACAAGUACCGCAUCGGAGAGAUGCCCGAGGACGGACGGCUGUGCGUCGCGUCGCUGGAGGAACAUGGUCUACAGCUGUGUGUGCGUGGCCAUGGGGACAACGGCUGGGUGCUGGAGAGACGCAUAGCCAUGGAGGAGGUGCUCGACUCGGUGCCGUACCUGCCCAAGAACCCCGUGGUGCGCCACUUCAGGCUGUGGCUAGGCGACGUCGACCGGGGGCGAACCGGCAGGGUGUUCAUCAACACCAUUGGCUUCGGCAACUUCUCCUACGACAUGAACACCAAGAAGCUAGAAUAUUUGGCUGCCGAAGAAGAUGGCAUGACAUUUGGUCACCCCGUUUUUGCCUACUUCUCGACUCCAGAUGAUGGCAUUGGCAUGGGAUCUGCGUGA